CUGGAGUCCAGACACUGGUGGUGGUGGUGAAAGGAAUAGCAGCAACCUGAUGAUGAACCAGGAACAACGCCGAUGCUGACUGGAGUCCAGACACUGGUGGUGGUGGUGAAAGGAAUAGCAGCAACCUGAUGAUGAACCAGGAACAACGCCGAUGCUGACUGGAGGUGACUGGGCUGGUUCACUUUUUACAAACACCAUAUAAAAAAGCUAUAACAAACCUUCCCAAUCAAGAAGAAAAUCUGCCCAAAAUCCAAGAGCUUUGCCUUCUUUCUGCUGACUAUUACUUCCUGCUGGACUGAGGAGUGGUGUGAACAGGCUUUCCAUGUCGGCAGCUGUAUGGUUUGUCUGAGAGUGGCACAAGAGUGGGGCCAACACACACGGAUGCUGCUGGAGUGCGAACAAAAAGUUCUUCUUUGAAUCUAGUAGGAACAAUGAUCAUAUGGCUUUAGUUACCCUGGUAACUAUACCAGAGUUUAAAGUUAAUAGUCUUCCUGGGUCUUAAAAUUCAAAACACUCAACCCACCAACAAGCUUUUCACUGAACAUGCUUUACCAUUUGUGAAUGUCACACAAUCUAAUCUGUAGUCACUUUUAAAGCAUUCAAGUGAUAAAUCAUGGGACUAUGGCCAGAAAGUUUAACAAGACUAAAGGGGUCGUGUCCAGCCUUAACCCUUAUUUUAAAGUGCUUAAAUUUGGCAGAAAGUGUGACUUAAUGUAAAACAAAAAUAAUACUUUCAUGAAAUUAUAUUGACAAAAAAAAUAAAAUCCAUGAAAAACAGACACCUGUAGAGUUGUACACCAGGUAACGGCUUUCUGGAGGUCCGUCAAAGAUCAGAUCAUUCAUCUGAAGCGUGAGGAAUUCCCGCCUCGGCCCGCCGGUGUCUAGGCCUUCUUCAUGGGAGCCAGCGUCAUCGGUAAACUUCACAAACAUGUCAUUCUCCUCAGAGUACGUGCAACGCUGAAAACCUCUGACAGCACCAUCCCAUACAUUAGAUCUGGACACGUGGAAUCUGUUGACUUUGCUGUGGUCAAUGGCAAGCGCCAAAUUUGCAAUUAUUUCAGGUGCACUUGUGUGCCUAGAACAAAAAGUAGAAAAGUUACAUUGUGUGUAAAAAAAGAUCCUCCAAGCAGAAUUGUAUAGCUUAUUAGAUGAACACAAAUGGAAUUAAGCCUUCCUUUCAUUCAAUAUUCAUAAAUUGUACUCAUAACACUUUCUGACUCCUCAGGACAGGAGGCAGUUAAUAAAACAAUAGGCUACAUUUAAGACAUUCAGUUCCUUACAACAAGACAUCUCUUUGGAUCUCUAGUUUUUCAACAACAGUUUUUCUUGGUACAGUAACUGGAAUUGUCGUUUCACCCUUCUUAAUACAGUGAUGUUUAUUUGUUUAAUGACUACUCGUACAAUGGAUGUGUAA
Long non-coding RNA from Gasterosteus aculeatus aculeatus (three-spined stickleback), 1414 nucleotides. The record is from Ensembl. NCBI's taxonomy places the organism in Eukaryota, Metazoa, Chordata, Actinopteri, Perciformes, Gasterosteidae.